Long non-coding RNA from Sander lucioperca (pikeperch), 139 nucleotides. RefSeq lists it as uncharacterized. Lineage: Eukaryota; Metazoa; Chordata; Actinopteri; Perciformes; Percidae. The transcript has 3 exons. The record is from RefSeq and is a predicted model, not a curated record.
CUUUUUAUUCCGCGUUUAGACGAGCGUUUUGGGGGGGAAAUCUGUGUGCAUAUGGUCACGCAAAAGUGUGUGAAAUUCGAUGUAGUAUGCACACCAGGCAGCUAGGUAGUAGUGUGAAGCACUGCCACAGAACACCACC